Chroicocephalus ridibundus (black-headed gull) is the source of this 7584-nucleotide RNA transcript. It is a transcript of the gene named somatomedin-B and thrombospondin type-1 domain-containing protein-like, with no coding region annotated. The record is from RefSeq and is a predicted model, not a curated record. The transcript has 7 exons. Lineage: Eukaryota; Metazoa; Chordata; Aves; Charadriiformes; Laridae.
UGUCGGCAUCAACCCAGCAGUGCCCGUUCACAGAUGCUCCUGGGCAGCUCUGGGGUUGCAUUAUCCCAUGCACAGUGUUUUAUUAACCAUCCCAGUUAAUUUUAUUAACUCCUUACCCUGGCCACAGAGGGAAGAGCCAGGAUGGCGAGGGGCGGUGGAGCAGAAGGGAACGGGCUUUGUCCCACUGCCCAGCCCAGGGGCGGUGCAAACAGGGCUCCCAGUGCUGAUGCUGCCGCAGCCCUCUCUCCUCGCCCAGUGUUUGCCAGUGUGGGGGGAAAGCCGUCCUUUGGGGGCUUGUGAGCACCCAGUGCCAUGUGGGGCCUGCUGCUCUGCGGGGGCUGGCUGCUGGCCACCGGCUACCUGGCAGGUGCUGCGGGCGGCUGCUGGCACCAGUGCUGCCCAGGCAGGAACAACACCUGCUGGGCCUCAGGCAGCCAUACGGCACGCUGCUACUGCGACUCGUACUGCGAGAGGACAGGUGACUGCUGUGAGGACUACCGUGCUGUGUGCCGCCAUGCCGUGGUGGGCUGUGCGGUGGGGCCCUGGGGGCGGUGGAGCAGGUGCAGCUCCCUGUGUGGGGUUGGCAGCAAGGCCCGCAGCCGCCAGGUCACCGUCCCGCCCCGGCACGGAGGAGAGCCCUGUCCCGACCUCAAGCAGCGCCGUGGCUGCCUGGGCGAGCACCCAACCUGUGAGACAGCCAAAGGUAACGCGGGUCCCACAGGGAUGGCCACCUCCCUUGUGCGUGACUGUCCCUGCUGCCCAUCCCGUGGUGUCUUUAACCAUCCAUGUCCCCCACCCUGGCUGCUCCUCUGCCAGAAGUGGCCAAGAUAUUACCUGACUCCAUCAGCCAGGACUUCAGGGAUCCCUGGCGGAGAGAUGGGCAGCUGCUGCCGGAGGAACUGUCUGGGUAAGGCCCCCCUGCCGUGGGCAGGCCUGGACCCGCCGGCUGCACCGGGACAAGCGGGUGUGUGUCAAGUGCCGGGGAGAAACAUCCCACCGCCGUCCUCAUUGCACCGGACAUGGGCUGCAAGGAGCCAGGACAUUUUGGGUGGCUGCUUCCGUGGCAGGGUGCCAGGGCUCGUGGGUGCAGGAGGGGCUGCAGGAGGUCUGUGUCUGCCCCCCACCAGCUCUCAUCUUUGUGUAGUAUCCCCCAAAGAAGGCUUGCCACUCACCCGUGGAGCUGACUCCCCAUGUUUUCCAUUAAGUAUUUUGUUGAAGAAUGGGAAGAAAACCCUGCUUAUAAAGAUUAAAAAUAAGGGAAUCGCUAAAGUAUGGUGAUUAAUGGAGGAAGAACAUCGUGCUGAGGUUAAAUCUAUGUGAGAUGAUGAUGCAGCAGUGAUAUGGGAGGACGACACGAUGAUGUCAUGCUCAGCAACGAGCUGCCAUUGGUAGGAGCAUCCUCCCUCUGUGUGUUCAGGCUGGCCCGACUGCAGUAUGGGGUGAGCCAUGGAGGGCAGCGUGGCUGCAUACUGUGGUUUCCAGAGAGAAAUUAAAUGUAGGCACCCAAGGUCUGCAUGUGGGUGAUGGUGCUGGUGCGUGUCCGGGUACAGCUGCAGGCCUAGGCCACCGCACUGGAGGGAGCGGGACUGGGCUGGGUGAUGCUGGGCUGUGCUGGUGCUAUUCCCCACUUCUUGCCUGACGUGAUGUGGCCUUGCUGGUGGGGUCCCUGCUCCAGCCUUGGCCAGAGUUACGCACAGCCAAGACACUGUGCUGGUGGCUGCAGCACCUGCCUGCAUCCCCAAACCACCCCCUGGCUGACUUCACCCCCACCCAUGCCAGGCACGGCACCCGGUGCUCAUCCUGCAGGGAUCACCUUUAUUCAGACACGGCCGCCUCCAGUGAACAGCAGUGCCUGAGCCCCAUGCUGCCACAGCCGAGACAUCAGGGGAGUUCUGAGCCAUUGAAGACCCCCAGGGAACAGGCCAGAGGAGAUGUGGGUGGCAGCAGAGGGCUGCUGUGCCCGCACCACGAGUAUCUAUCCAUGAGGCUUGGUGGGAUGACCCACUGGGCCAGGGCUGGCCCGCGCCGGGCUAGCCAAAAGCCCACGGGCAGGCAGCAGAAAGACCAAGGUGGGCACAGCUCCUGGUCUGGGAAAGGAGGUGGGAGAGGGCAGCUCAUGGCACUGCCCUCCCAGCCUCCUCUUAUGGGACCCUGGCUGCAGGUGGGCUGCCAGUGCCCAUCCCCGGGGGGGGUGGAGCAGGCUCUCCCCGCCCCUGCAAUGGGGAACGUGCCUGUCCCAUAGCCCCAGGCCCGCUCCAAGCCCUGCCGUUCAGGGACGCCACAGGUACUCCACGCAAGCUGGGCCUCGAAGGCCGUUGACUCUCCCUUAAAAUAGGCGCCUCCCCGCCCGCCCUGGCCCCGCCUCCCGCUCCCCUCGGACCCGCCCUCUGCAUGGCCACGACUCCCGCCUCCUCUCGGCCCCGCCCCGCCGCGCAGGUGCUUUGCCACACGCACCCGAACUGCGGGAGGCCCGCCCGCCCUCGAAGUGCCGGACCCCAGAGAGCGCUGCGGGGGGACAAGGCCGCGCAACGGGUUUAUUUUGUGCUGCCGCACACAAAUCUAUAAAACUUUUAAAGAGGAAAAAGCCGGGUUUGGGUGAAUUUCCCUCCGGCGGGCCCGGCCGCACGGCCCCGUUGCCACAGCGACGGCCCCUCGUCCCCGCCUGGGCGUCUUCACCAUGGCAACGGCUCCCGUACGGAUGGGCGGGAGGGUGGACCAAUCACAGCGCGGGCGCCGCGCUCCCAUUGGUAGGAUCGCCUCGCCGCUCUUCCAUUGGUCUGAUCACCUCGCGGGGGUGGGGCGUGGUAGGGAUUGACUACGGAGACGGGCCAAUGGAGCGGGGAUGCCCAAGGAGGUUGGCGGGCGGCGGGGCAGUGGCCAGUGGGUGCGCGGCGUGGGCGGGACGGGGCGCUCCGGAAGCGGAGGGGCCUGGGGGAAAAUGCUGGCCAGCCGCCGCCAGACCAUUGUGAAGCAGUUGGACCGCGUCAAGGGUCACCUUCAGUGGCACGGGAAGAAAAUCCUGCUCUGUUGAUUCCGCUUGCUGCUCAGGUAGUGGCAGGGGGGAGUGGGGAGGCACGUUUGCAAGUUCAGGGACGCUACAGGUACUCCAUGUCAAAGCCGCAGAAAAAGCAAAUUUGCUGGUACUGCAGAAAAGCUGAUGAGGAGUUGCAGUUAACGGAGCGUGCUUCCUGCCUGAGUUGGUCCCUUGGCAGUUAGGAAUGUUUUCCUUUGGGGUCAAAACCCGAACUUUUAUCUAGGAUAAAUUAAGAACUGCCUGUUACCUUUGUUAGGGUCAAGCGUUUCUCUUCUGUUUGUUCAUACUUAUUUUAUGGGCGACUUGGAAACAGCCUUUUAUUUUUUGUGCAUAACUAAAUUUUUACUAGUCUGUGGUGUCAUUAUAGUUAAUGUUUGAGCACCUAGAUGCCAGUGGAAAUGUAAUGAACGAAACGUGAUGGAAACUGGUGUGUCAUUUGAUUUUUAUUUUUAUUUUUUUUAUUGGAGUGUUAAUGUUUUUCUGUGUCUCAAUCCACAUUGUUCCGUGGAGCCUUUAUUCUAAGACUUUUAAGUAAAAAAAGUUUGUCCUUCCAGAAAAGGACUGGUCCCUCGUAGGACUGAGGUGUAGACUUAGAGGGUCAUGAUCAGAAUUAAAGCCAAAUUUCACUUGAUGUUGCUGCUGUUGGUCUUCACUUUUGUUAAUAUCCAUGCAGCUCCCUCAUGGUGGGAGCUCUGAAUCAUAUUUCUUUUUUUUCAGUCUUUAACACAUUUUUCCCCCACAAGGGGAGGCUACAUUUAAAAGUUAAUUAGUUUCCUCCCAGACGUGCCAGUGACUAAAAUUGAGUUGUGCUUAUUAAAACCAGAAAAAUGACACUGCUCUUAGAGAUCUGGACUAUUUCUGAACACGUCUUUGUCACAUGCAAAUGUCAUUGGGAUGCGCUGACAGGACAAUAUGCUGAGACAGGGAUGAUCUCUGCCAGACAAAAAAGAUGCAAGGUCCUGGGGUUUUUGUCUGUUUGUUUUCUUUUGUGGGGGUGGGGUGUGUGUGUGCGCUUUCAAAAACAGUGUGAUGUUGACUGCAGGUGUCAGCCUGCAGAGCUCUCUUGCUGCCUGAUCUCUCCUUUUCUUUGUCUCUCCUCUUUCGUGGCUACAACUUUCACUUGGAUAAUUUUAGAAGAGCAAUUAAGCGACUUGCCUGUGUAAAAGUGCUGGUAAUACCAGGAAGGUAAGUGCUUGAACCGGUAGUGAAUAACUUGGCUACAAGUAGAAUUUCUGAAGGAAGAAGAACAGCUGCAGCAGGAAGCAAAUCGCAAGUUCCCCCAAAAUUGUGUGUCUCCAACACGUCAAAGUUUAAUUGCCAAAUGUUGUUUGGCAGUAUGUUCCAAGUGACUGUUUUUGGUAAACAUAAACUUUCAGGAAAUUCAGGGUUAUGUGUGGCGAAAGAAGUCCCUCUGUCUGUGUGUCCUGCUCCGUAAAUGUCCGGUGGCAGGGCUGUUGUUCCCUACUCUCAGUAUGGCUACGGUAGCACUCGAUAUUUAGACCCAACAGACGGGUUUAGGAGUGGAAGAAGAAUGCCUGUUUUCUGUAAGGGCUAUGAACGCUGACCCUUUUCUCCCUCUGCUGCUUUCCUGUGCACCAGGUGAAGCUGUUUUAUUUUUCUCCCUUGAUGCGGGUUUGCAAUUUGCGUUGCUAGGUUUUUGUGGAGUUCUCGUUGUGGAUCACUUCUGCUGUGGCCAAGUGUCAAGGUGCGGUUUUCAGUUCGCAGUUUCAGAAACCACAUGCCCUGAAAUGGGUGCAGGUGAAGCUGACCUUGGGCGUGCAGCCUGCGCUCACUGGGACGCUCAGGGGCUCCUCAUCAAAGCAGCCGGGUGUGCGCGGGCACCCGCAGGGUUGCAGUCUGGUCUGAGAGCGUGCUGUGCUUUUGCUGCUGGGAGGUGGAAGUGAGCGUGUGCCCGGUAAAUCCAAGGGCAUCCAAAAGCUGCGAGGGACCCUGAGCAGGUUUGGUGGCACAAUGGCAGUUUGAAAAGAUCUUGACUGUUGGGAAAAACGGCCUGGAAAGAAAUCACUGUUUUUUUGCAAGGAGGCAGUUUAGAAGGAGAGGUAGGUUGCUGUAGCCUUUAACUUGGGAUGUGUAGGGUGAGGAAACCCUGUCUCUAUGUAGGCUGAAGAAAAUGUGCAUAGACGCCUGUGUCUGUCGCAGUGUGUCUCUGCGUGUAUCUGGGAAAGUGGCUCUAGGGCAACUAAAGCUGCCAGUGAGUCAAAAAAAGACAGGUUUGUCUGAAAAAUGCAAAAGCUCUAGUGUCCCGUAUCAACAACUGUGCUAGAGAUGAAGCCAAAUACUUUUUCCUCCGCUUGGCUGUAGUCCUUGCAAACCUCCACAAAAGAGGGGAGCUUUAGAUUCCUAACCAGCUUUACGCUAAAGGGUUUUUUCCUCUCUUGGCAGAACGUCAACUGCCAGCGUUUCUUCUGCGGUCGCCCUUUCUUCUGCCACGACAGUACAGGACAGAUGGAAAGGAUCCGGAGUGCUCUGCGAGUAUGUGGCUUUGACACGAAGCAUCAGCAGCCUCAUAACUGCUGAUGGCGAGUCCUGAUGUGGUUUUGGUGAGUUGUGGCUUCCAAUAACGUCCUUUGUCUGUAACCUGCAGCGUGUCAUUUUGACUUUGCUUGGAAAGAGGUUUUUCCAAAAUGGGACUGUUGUUCAUUCAAAGCAGUUGCAUUUCAUGGAAUUCCUAUCAGCAACAAGCCUUUGUGCUCCCUUCUAAAAAAGGAAAAGAAAAAAAAUUUCCUUCCAAAGGCCCAAGCACAGCACAUUUUCCAACAGUUUGGUGGCAUCGCCGGUCUUUGGGUUCUCGGUUGUAACAGUCGAGAUACCAUAAAAACACAUUCCUCUGCAUGUUCAACACAGCCAAAAGCAUUAGCCAAUCUGCCGGUCUUUUUUAGUAGCCUGAUGGAUUGCAGCGCCGGGGAUUUGAUCCCCCCCCUCCCCGCCCCGUAAAACCGUAUGGGGGAUCUUUUAUCUCACUGGGUUUUCUGCGCUAAAUGGAACUUUGAAAACCAAAAAAGUUAAAAUUGUAUGAUCUGCAAACUGACUUGCAUGGUUUAAACUGCAACUGCCAGUAUAGCUGUAGCAUACAAUGUAGAUUUGAUUUCCCCCUUCCCCUGCAAAGGUAAAACCGUUUGGGGGGAUCUUUUAUCUCACUGAUUUUUCUGUGCUAAAUGAAACCGUAUAAAAAAAAAAAGUUAAAUUUUUAUGAUUUGCAAACUGGCUUGCAUGGUUUAAACUGCAACUGCCUGUAUAGCUGUAGCAUACAAUUUAGGAGAUGUCCUUAACCAGAUACGUAUUUGUUCUAAUGCUUUAAAAAGAGAGGCAACUGAAUAUAACGUUGGGUUUUUUUCCUGCUAUUUAGACGGUGUGCUCUGAAGCACUUUAUUUCUGUCUGGCUUUCAGUGGCCUGUUUCCUCAGCAGUCCAGUAGCAUCUCUCCUGGGCAGUGCAGCUGGCCAGACGUCCCUCCUCCUUGUGUAGCACACAAAAAACCUAUAGUCAAAUUAUAGCUAUGUAUUUUGGAGAGAGAUAAUGUAAUGGUAUCAAUUCAUAGCUGUGCGAGCAAAAUUAGUGCCAGAGGAAAGUCAAAUACUUCUACAGUACAAUUAUUUUUAAUGAGUGUAUGUAAAUGUAGGCACACCUUUUCAGCAUAACAUGAAUGACCGAGCUUUGUUCUUUAUUGUUCCUUUUGCUGUUCACAGUUUACCCUUCCUUCUCGGCUGCAUUGACCCAGCGAGCGAGGUGGGCAGCGGCAGCGUGAGGGCUGUACCUGCGGCGGUGGGUCUGUCAGCAUCGAUUCUGGUGUUACAGCGCAGCCUGCUCCUGCCACCCUGCUGGGUGAUCUCCCUGCAGCUGCACUGGGAGGAAGGGGCCAGGCGUUUCCCAGCGCCGGCCAGAGUGUUCGCCCUUACGCUAAGAACGUAAUGGCAUCCUGGCUUUUGCAGGUUGUGCCGUGUUUGGAGCUGAGCUGUUUUCCCCAGAAUCCUCCUGUAGCUCAGCUCCUGUCCCAUCCCUCGGCCUGACGGAAUUCCUCAAGUCCCUUCCGGGUUAUUUUUUAAAAUGCUGAGCUAUAAUUGGGGAUUUUUGUUUUCCAGGUGCCUCGUCGUAGGCGUCUCCUGCUACUCGAGAGAUGCCCCAGCCCAGGUUUGCAGCCGGUGGCAGAGCCUACCUGAGGGGAAGGGGCCAGCCCUGGGUCUGGGUGUUUUGGGCAUUUUUUUUGGGUGAAUAGAAGGACGUCUGUGUGUCUCAGGGUUGCGAUGAUGUCAUUUGGGGUACCUCGAUGUCAUUGGGACAGCAAUGAUGCAGCGGAGGAGCAGGUGAGUGGGGAACGUGGGGUUACGUGAGGGUGUCCCAAAAGAGGUGGUUCACAGCCCCAAAAAGUCUGAAAAUCUUGGGAUGCCUUAAAAAAUGUGAAAACCUGUAACUAUGGGCGUGAGGCAUUGAAAUAGAGAACAGUCUGUCAUUUAUAUAUGAGAAAUAUAUAUUUUGAGAAAUAAUAUUAUGUAUGUAAAAUAAGUUCAAAAUAAAAACCUCUAUGUCUAAGGA